Molecule: small RNA, 29 nt
Filed under: Bombyx mori (domestic silkworm)
Lineage: Eukaryota; Metazoa; Arthropoda; Insecta; Lepidoptera; Bombycidae
Description: ovarian small RNA-29050
Source: RNAcentral
UCGGUGUCUGCGGCAACCUGCCGUUCCUU